GACGAACGCUGGCGGCGUGCUUAACACAUGCAAGUCGAGCGGAGAGGCCCUUCGGGGUACUCGAGCGGCGAACGGGUGAGUAACACGUGAGUAAUCUGCCCUGCACUCUGGGAUAGCCUUGGGAAACUGAGAUUAAUACCGGAUAUGUUCACUUCCCGCAUGGGAUGGUGGUGGAAAGUUUUUCGGUGCAGGAUGUGCUCGCGGCCUAUCAGCUUGUUGGUGGGGGAAUGGCCUACAAAGGCUUCGACGGGUAGCCGGCCUGAGAGGGUGACCGGCCACACUGGGACUGAGACACGGCCCAGACUCCUACGGGAGGCAGCAGUGGGGAAUAUUGGACAAUGGGCGGAAGCCGGAUCCAGCAACGCCGCGUGAGGGAUGACGGCCUUCGGGUUGUAAACCUCUUUCAGCACAGACGAAGCGCAAGUGACGGUAUGUGCAGAAGAAGGACCGGCCAACUACGUGCCAGCAGCCGCCGUAA
This 478-nucleotide ribosomal RNA is filed under the name uncultured bacterium. Its description in RNAcentral is "partial 16S ribosomal RNA". It matches the Rfam family "Bacterial small subunit ribosomal RNA", at positions 28 to 523 of the family's 1533-position model. The record is from RNAcentral.